This 484-nucleotide ribosomal RNA is filed under the name uncultured bacterium. RNAcentral describes it as "partial 16S ribosomal RNA". It matches the Rfam family "Bacterial small subunit ribosomal RNA", at positions 28 to 523 of the family's 1533-position model. The record is from RNAcentral.
GACGAACGCUGGCGGCGUGCUUAACACAUGCAAGUCGAACGAUGAAGCUAGAGCCUGCUCUGGUGAAUUAGUGGCGAACGGGUGAGUAACGCGUGAGUAACCUGCCCCGAACUCUGGGAUAACUGCUGGAAACGGUAGCUAAUACUGGAUACGACCUACGAAGGCAUCUUCUGUAGGUGGAAAGAAUUUCGGUUCGGGAUGGACUCGCGGCCUAUCAGCUUGUUGGUGAGGUAAUGGCUCACCAAGGCGACGACGGGUAGCCGGCCUGAGAGGGUGACCGGCCACACUGGGACUGAGACACGGCCCAGACUCCUACGGGAGGCAGCAGUGGGGAAUAUUGCACAAUGGGCGCAAGCCUGAUGCAGCAACGCCGCGUGAGGGAUGACGGCCUUCGGGUUGUAAACCUCUUUUAGUAGGGAAGAAGCGAAAGUGACGGUACCUGCAGAAAAAGCACCGGCUAACUACGUGCCAGCAGCCGCGGUAA